CAUAGUUUGAGACUUUUAUUUUGAAAUUACACAGGACAGGGGUAAGGAGAUUCAGCGCGCGGCAAGCUUUGUUAGACAAGUCAGACAUUUUUUCUCUCUUGCGUGAACAUACACCACAUACGCACAGGAACACCUUUUCUCAUUGUUUUACUUGAAGAUUUAUGUGUACAUCACCGUUACGGAUUACAUUUUAGCAUAUUAUGUUCGUGUUAAGUCUGUUUUGUGAACUACCUGCAAGGAGCUAAUGGACAGCUAAAUGAACUGCUAGUUUGCACCCUUGGAAAGUGGAGCGAGUUUCACGGUGCUGGAAGAGCGACAAUAAAUGUCAUUGCACCCGUUU
Long non-coding RNA from Alosa alosa (allis shad), 340 nucleotides. RefSeq lists it as uncharacterized. The record is from RefSeq and is a predicted model, not a curated record. The transcript is spliced from 2 exons. Lineage: Eukaryota; Metazoa; Chordata; Actinopteri; Clupeiformes; Clupeidae.